GCCAACCUACCUAUCGAGAGGGGAAUAACCCGGCGAAAGUCGGACUAAUACCGCAUAAAACAGGGGCACCGCAUGGUGAUAUUUGUUAAAGAAAUUCGCUGAUAGAUGGGCAUGCGUUCCAUUAGGUAGUUGGUGAGGUAACGGCUCACCAAGCCGACGAUGGAUAGGGGAACUGAGGAGGUUGGUCCCCCCACACUCGGUACUGAGACACGGACUAGACUCCUACGGGAGGCAGCAGUGAGGAAUAUUGGUCAAUGGGCGGGAGCCUGAACCAGCCAAGUCGCCGUGAAGGAAGAAGGAUCUAUGGUUCGUAAACUUCUUUUGCAGGGGAAUAAAGUGCAGGACGUGUCCUGUUUUGUAUGUACCCUGAGAAUAAGGAUCGGCUAACUCCGUGCCAGCCGCCGC
Molecule: ribosomal RNA, 405 nt
Filed under: uncultured bacterium
Lineage: Bacteria
Description: bacterial SSU rRNA
Rfam family: Bacterial small subunit ribosomal RNA
Source: RNAcentral